Long non-coding RNA from Bos taurus (domestic cattle), 747 nucleotides. The record is from Ensembl. NCBI's taxonomy places the organism in Eukaryota, Metazoa, Chordata, Mammalia, Artiodactyla, Bovidae.
GAGGAGCUGGAAGAGCACAUGCCCUUUGCCCAUGGAGUCCCCGGCUGAUCGCACUAACUUCAAUUCAGAACACACUGGAAAGCCAAAAUCAAGAUCACAGAGUGCUGGGGACACCUGAAGCUGCUCCAUGUCUUAGCUGCCUCAAAGAAAGGAUGGAAUGGGAGACCAUGGACCUUUCUCAAGGAGGACCAUCUAGAGGACCGUGCUCAGAGGUUCUGAUGCUCUGGAGGACGUGGGAAGACACAGAUUACUGGGCCUCACCCCAGAGUGUCUGAUUCAGCAGGUCUGGGUUGUGCUGGACUCUUUGCGACCCCAUGGACUGUAACCUCCAGGUUACCUGAAUUCUCCAGAAGAUACUACAGCAGGAAGACGGAAAGAAUCUGAGUUCUCAGUGGUGUCCAUACUUGACCACUGAAACUGAGAACCCCGAAGCUGCACCAUCUCAGGACUUCCUGAGAUGUGGAAGUAAUAAAUGUCUUUAUUAUUAAAUGGCAUGGGUUGGUGCUUUCUAGUACUUUCAACUGAAAGCAUUACAGUUGCUACAGAUGUGAAAUCUUUUGGCAAGGAGCCAGCAGCCACAAUCAACAGCUUUAUUGAUUUCUUUAUUCAGUGAAAGUCUACUGAGGGCAUUCUGUGUGUCAGGAUGGUUCUGGGUAGUGGAGAGCUUGAGAGAGGGCCUUGCUGUCAUAGAGCUGCGUUCCAGUGGGUGAAGACAGACACGAAAGUAAUAAUUUCAGAUAAUGUUCA